AUAGCCAAUUAUGCUUGGAGGAUCAUCAAAAGUUUGGAGACAUUAUAGGUCAUUUGUGGACUUGGUGAAAUUUGACCUAUUUUCAAGUGACUUUUUCUCAACUUUCAAGGAUUAUAAUUUCUUCAAUUUUCAACAUUUGAGGCUGAUUCUUUUUUCACAAUGUCAUUUGAGAUGCCCUCUACAAGUUUUCCUCAAGGACCAAGGUCAAAAUAUGCUUGGAAGACCAUGGAAUUCAUUGAGACAUUAUA
This 248-nucleotide long non-coding RNA is filed under the name Lathyrus oleraceus (garden pea). RNAcentral describes it as "Pisum sativum (pea) long non-coding RNA (PSAT_LNC002517)". Lineage: Eukaryota; Viridiplantae; Streptophyta; Magnoliopsida; Fabales; Fabaceae. The record is from RNAcentral.